Molecule: unclassified non-coding RNA, 1885 nt
Filed under: Hevea brasiliensis (rubber tree)
Lineage: Eukaryota; Viridiplantae; Streptophyta; Magnoliopsida; Malpighiales; Euphorbiaceae
Source: RNAcentral
AUUUGGCCACAUGUAUUAAUCAGUUUUUGUGCUCCUUUAUUAAUUGAAGGAAAGACUUUUGGAGUUCACAGAUGUAGAUUCUAGGUGAUAAAGACCUAAAGUAUAUGUAAAUUGAAUAAUUGGCUUCGAACAAAUGGGUUAAAAGUACACAUAAAAAUAGAAUUAUUAACUCAAAACUUCAUUGUACUUGAAAACGCAAUCAUAAAGCCGUCCUCCAAGAAACUGAGCAACCUCUGGAUGUUUCACCUGAUUUAAAAAAAGAUAGAAAAAUGCAAAAGGAUAGAUUUAUCAUGAAUUUAAUAAAAUCCUACAAAUCAAUAUUCAUUUACUGAUAUUCUCACUAAACAAAAGUAAAAUAACUUAAACAGUUACCAUUCCAAUCUUGAGAGAAUCACACUUAAACUGAGCAUAAAGAUUUGUCUCUAUCGCGCGACCCUGCCACAAGCGUCAAAUGUUUAGGUGCAACUUGUUGGAGAGUUCAACAUUCUACUGAAUAUAUAAAUGCUUAAUUAAAACCUUUAAUUAUAAGGCAAAAUGCAAUUUCUCCCACACUUUAAUUUGGGCCAAUCAAGCCCUUUUACUAAUUGAACUUAGUUAAUUACAUCCAAAAACUAAUGUCAUUUUAUACCAUUAAAUAUUUGGUAAAGGUGACAAAUAUAAAAGAAAAUUUAUAAUUUAAAAAUUAGUAGGACCAAUUAGUUCUUUCUCCUCUUUAUUCCCAUUUUAGAUAGACAACUUUCUUUUUAUAGUGAGAAAGUAGAUUUGGCUUUUCUAAUGGCUGGCCUCCUUGCGGCUAAUAGCUAGCAUUCCCCUCUAUUUUUUCAUCCACCCUCCCUUUAAUCCCUUCUACCUCAUGCCUAAUUUAUAAUUCCUUGGUCUUUUUAUUUAUUUAUUUGUCUUUAUUGGAAUCGUGGUUUCAUCUACAAGCCAAACCAAAUAUGGGUUUGGCUUUCUUCUAUCUCUCUCAAGAGCAAUGGAGUUAUCUAAUAUGGGUUUGGUUUUUGGUUUAAGGGAGUAAAGACCUGUGAUUAUGGAGGUGUUUGUCCUCCCUCUCCAAUUCGAGACUUUCUCAAGCAUAUUGGAGUCUUUUAUCGCAACCUCGUUUUUAUUGCUUCAUAUUUGUUUAGGAUUUUCAGAAUUCCAUUUUUAUGAAUGUCUGAUGUAAGUUCACUCCUGCUGUAUUACUACACAGGACGUUUCAUUAAAUGAGAUUUGUUAGGAUAGUUGAUUGCACCAUAAUCCACAAAUAUUUGUCCUAUCAAAAACAAAUGGGGGGAGAAAAGAAAGAAUGAAUGGAUCCCACCAUUAUUUCUAUACGAAUUCAUUUUUUACAUAUAUGUCAGCUUUACUAAAAAAUUACUGGCAUGAAUCAAUGGUGUUAAUUUUUGGGUCUUAUUAAACAAAUUCAAAUAGAAAGAGGGUUUGAUUGGCCCUAAUUAAAGUAUGAGGAGGACAUUGUUUUUCGACCAAUAGUUGAAGGGUUUAAUUAAGCAUUUGGCCCUAUUUAUUUCAUUCAUAGCCACACACUAGAACUUUCUAUCCUGCCAUCUUAAUGGGGCUCUCUCUUUUUCCUUGGUCAACAAACAACAAUUGAACCCCUACCACCCUCUAUCACUUCAGUAUGAGAAAACCAAAGUUGCCAAUAUCAUUUUGGAAGCUAAUAUAGAUUUCUAAUUGAUGUGAGCUAUGUCAAUACUGGUGCCAUUCUGAAAUUAUCACUAAAAUAUUUCUUAAAAAUUAUGGGUUAAUGACUCAAAUAAUCAAAGCUUUGGCUGCCCAUUCUUUUUUGACAUCUAAAUGUAUAUUACAGUUAUUUUCAUUACUUUUCGUUAAUUACUUUCUAAUGGAUUCCAGGAAAUUAUUCUUUUAUUUUUAUUUAUUUAUU